UCAAGAUGUUUUCUUUAUUCACUGCCUGGUUUCCUGCCAAUAAUAAAUAUAGGCGUCUUUCAAGCUGCAGUAUGCGCUAUUCGAUCACUGCUGGAGCACUUGCAGCGAGCGCAUCUAUUUGGAGUAAAAUUGCUAUGGAUGAGCUGUUUUUGCAAAGUUUGAUACAAUCCUGUAACCUUGAUUGGCUCUUAUACCCAGAGUAUCUUCAUCUGGUUUUACGAAUAUUUUCAAUUGGUCUAGCAAUUCUAUGUAACGUUUUGAUGGUGAAUGCUUCAGCUAAAUCGAGUGAUAUGGGUACCAGUGCUGAAACUGCAGCGGUUACGUCUGGAGUUAAUUUUUUUUUGACGGCCGUUUUAGGUAAACUGUUGUUUCACGAAAAGUUAUCUUUGUCAUGGUACAUUGGAUUGGCGUUCAUUUUUUUAGGUGUUUUGAUUAUUGGUGAAAAUAAAGAAGACCGAAAAAAAACCAAUUAAGAA
Molecule: long non-coding RNA, 476 nt
Organism: Schistocerca gregaria
Lineage: Eukaryota; Metazoa; Arthropoda; Insecta; Orthoptera; Acrididae
Exons: 2
Source: RefSeq, a predicted model, not a curated record